GAUGAACGCUGGCGGCGUGCCUAAUACAUGCAAGUCGAGCGAACGGACGAGAAUCUUGCUUUUCUGAUGUUAGCCGCGGACGGGUGAGUAACACGUGUAUAACCUACCUAUAAGACUGGGAUAACUUCGGGAAACCGGCGCUAAUACCGUAUAAUAUUUUGAACCGCAUGGUUCAAAAGUGAAAGACGGUCUUGCUGUCACUUAUAGAUGGAUCCGCGCUGCAUUAGCUAGUUGGUAAGGUAACGGAUUACCAAGGCAACGAUGCAUAGCCGACCUGCGAGGGUGAUCGGCCACACUGGAAGGGAGACACGGCCCAGAGUCCCACGGGAGGGACCCGUAGGGAAUCUUCCGCAAUGGGCGAAAACCUGACGGAGCAGCGCCGAGUGAGUGAUGAAGGUCUUCGGAUGGUAAAACACUGUUAUUAGGGAAGAAAACACUUUUAAGUAACUGUGAACAUCUUGACGGUAACUAAUCAGAGAGGCACGGCUAACUAAGGG
RNAcentral lists this ribosomal RNA (497 nucleotides) under uncultured bacterium. RNAcentral describes it as "partial 16S ribosomal RNA". It matches the Rfam family "Bacterial small subunit ribosomal RNA", at positions 28 to 507 of the family's 1533-position model. The record is from RNAcentral.